This is a non-coding RNA of Ictidomys tridecemlineatus (thirteen-lined ground squirrel), 72 nucleotides long. NCBI's taxonomy places the organism in Eukaryota, Metazoa, Chordata, Mammalia, Rodentia, Sciuridae. The record is from Rfam.
UAGGAUUUAAUUCAGUGGUAGAGUGCAUGCUUAGCAUGCAUGAGGCCCUGGGUUAAAUACCCAGCAUCACAU